RNAcentral lists this transfer RNA (63 nucleotides) under Klebsiella pneumoniae. RNAcentral's name for it is "tRNA-Arg". It matches the Rfam family "tRNA", at positions 6 to 65 of the family's 71-position model. Rfam says of the family: Transfer RNA (tRNA) molecules are approximately 80 nucleotides in length. Their secondary structure includes four short double-helical elements and three loops (D, anti-codon, and T loops). Lineage: Bacteria; Pseudomonadati; Pseudomonadota; Gammaproteobacteria; Enterobacterales; Enterobacteriaceae. The record is from RNAcentral.
CGUAGCUCAGCUGGAUAGAGUACUCGGCUACGAACCGAGCGGUCGGAGGUUCGAAUCCUACCG